RNAcentral lists this ribosomal RNA (253 nucleotides) under uncultured bacterium. Its description in RNAcentral is "partial 16S ribosomal RNA". It matches the Rfam family "Bacterial small subunit ribosomal RNA", at positions 524 to 776 of the family's 1533-position model. The record is from RNAcentral.
UACAGAGGGGGCAAGCGUUGUUCGGAAUUACCGGGCGUAAAGGGCUCGUAGGCGGCCAACUAAGUCCGACGUGAAAUCCCCAGGCUUAACCUGGGAACUGCGUCGGAUACUGGAUGGCUUGAAUUCGGGAGAGGGAUGCAGAAUUCCAGGUGUAGCGGUGAAAUGCGUAGAUAUCUGGAGGAAUACCGGUGGCGAAGGCGGCAUCCUGGACCGACAUUGACGCUGAUGAGCGAAAGCUAGGGGAGCAAACGGG